Long non-coding RNA from Oncorhynchus tshawytscha (Chinook salmon), 2111 nucleotides. NCBI's taxonomy places the organism in Eukaryota, Metazoa, Chordata, Actinopteri, Salmoniformes, Salmonidae. The record is from Ensembl.
UGUAUAUACUCAACCAUAUGGAAAUGUGUUUUGUUUCAGAUUAUGUACUUUUCAUGUCAGUCAUAUCUUCUGUUUGAGUACUUUUAAUUAAUGCAUAAUCAAGUUUUUGAGGUCACCCAUGACUUUUCUCUUCUUUUUUUUAGUUUUUGGAGGUUCUGGAACUACAAGCUCAUGUGAUAAUUCAAUGAAAUGGGCAAUAAUGUGGGGAAGAUAGGGGUCUAUCCCUGUCAUCCUCGGUUUAGUGUUUGUCACCGAGGCCAAACAUGCUUGACUAUGUAUAUGACCCAUUGUUUAACCAGCAUAUUAACUGUACAUGUUAUUUCUUUCUGUUACUUUUUUUCUGGGGGAAGGGAUAUAGGGAUGUAAUAGUUGUUUCUAAUUAAGUUAUUUGAUUAAGCACCUGUUUUCUUGCCCCCCCCAUCCAAAUGGUUUAUUUGUAUGGAUAUAAUAACCCUGAACUAAAACUCAACUCAAAUAUGAUGGUGGUGGUGGUUUUAUCCGAUCAUGUUACUUGAGACUAAAUGCUUGCUGUUCAAAUUCUUAUUGAUAGAUGCAAAGUAUUUAUGUAUUUAUGGCAGAAAAUUCAUUUAUUUGGUUCAUUUUGUGAUGUGUUGUUGUGUAAGAUACAGGAACACGUGGAUUUCUUUUUGUUUUAUUGUAUGUAUAUCGGUCUUUAUUUAUGUGGUUUGGUGACGGGUGUUGGGUCUGAUUUUGAUAAAUACUCAGAGCAGUUAGGCUGUGAUUGUGUAAAGUUCUUGGCCUUUGAAAGUUGUUCUCAAUUAUGGACGAAUGUAUGUCCAUUUCUAUGUAUGUGUAAAUACAGUCCAGCACAAACCCUCUACAGAAAUGCAACCACUGUUGUACCCCAAUACAGUGAUGUCAUCAUGACAGGCCACAAACAAACUCCAUACAAAACUAUUACAACUGUUGUAAGGCACAGAAGGAAAAGCUCUGCUUUUAGGAUAAGGAAAGCGUAAUUCUCUUCUCAAGGGACCCAAAGCCUCUGGAUAGGAUCACUACGGGUGUGCCCGAAUACCCAUAGCUAUACUCCUAAAUAGUAGGCUGUUUGAAUAUGUGGGGGAAAAAAGAAUGUUUUAUAGUAUGUGAAAUGUUGAAAAUCUAGUAUACUUUAAAUGCCCGGAUGUCAUACUCAUUUCAGCUUUUUUAUCUAGUAGAAUACGCUGCACACUAUUGAGGAAGAGAAUUGUCUUUUCACACCCACGUUUGUUCGAGAACAACUGAUAAUCCGAACAAGGAGCACGCUCUACAAAAAAUAUUAAAUGGCGGGGAACAAGCGCGCAUUCGAUGACGCCUUCUCAGUAUGGAUGCGUAGUAUGUUGAUAUUUGUUGCUGACUGCAUACGUUUGUACUCAACAGUAUGUUCUAAAUAGUAUGUAGUACGAUUAGUACACCGUAUGCAGUUUAAGUAGUAGGCAAGGAGGAUUUCGACACAGCCUAUGACUUCUACUCUAUUCUCACCAGGCUCAUUGAAAUCACAGUGCGUUUCUGUGGCUGUGCUGCCAUUGCUUCAGCAUAGGACCAGAGAUGGUGAAGUGGCUCUUUGGGUCAGACAGGAGAUGGAAGAAAAAGGGUGAAGGGGAAAGAAAGCUAAACUAAAUUCUGUGCAAUAGACGUGAUGCUCUUGUUGAAGCUGGCUUGGCUGCUACUUGUUGAUCUCUCUUCAAUUGUUGUAUAUUCAGAUUGUCGUGCAAUAUUUUUGUAGGAAAUGAAGACAAAAGUGAUAAUCGGGAAAGGAUUCUUCAGUUUUCUAUUUCUCGUUGUUUCUCUCCAUAGAAAACCGUAUCUGAACGUUAGGUAACUUGGGACCCCUGGGCUGGAAUUGAGCUCAUGAGAAGAGUAAACAAAAACACAUUUUGGGCUGUCAUGCUACUUCUGCUACUGCUGCUGUUGUAACUCUGUACUCUCUAAACCCAUUCGUACGCUCCUGAUCUGUCUCUCCCUACGAUUCACAGUAUACUAACAUAGUGUCAUGGCUUCCUGCUGCGGAAUUUUGUUUUUGUAAGAGGGAUGUUGUACACGGUUCUAGAGAUGGAUCAUGUGAUGAAGCGCUAUUGUACAUGGCCUCAAUAAAAAAGCUCACCUGAAGUCCA